GAAAAAACCAGUCCUCAGUAUCUGAAUUAAAUAGGCUUCUAUGGCGCGAGAUGCGAUUCGGGAUCGGCUAUAACCCCGCGAAUCUAUCAUAUCCAACUGGUUGAUCUUUAUUCCUGGAACGUAUUCCAGAGUCAAAACCUUUGUUGCUGUAUAGUCCCAGUACACCAAAGGCACUCGGACCCACUUUAUGUUCCGAAAGUCCCGACGAAAUCUAUCAGCAUUCUUCCCCUCAUUUAUAUAAUCAAUUUCCUCAUACAAUAUCUUAGCACAUUCUUCAUAUAUUCCUAUCCAGUCACGAGUUGGACCACCAAGAGUUUCACUUUUCUGAAAAUACUCUGCGAUCAACUUUAGAUUUCUCAGAUCAAUGUCAAAUAGUUUCUUUAGGCCGGGUCUCUGAACUUUUACAACAACUUUCUCU
This 418-nucleotide unclassified non-coding RNA is filed under the name Hevea brasiliensis (rubber tree). Lineage: Eukaryota; Viridiplantae; Streptophyta; Magnoliopsida; Malpighiales; Euphorbiaceae. The record is from RNAcentral.